RNAcentral lists this ribosomal RNA (22 nucleotides) under Maritrema portucalense. Its description in RNAcentral is "partial 5.8S ribosomal RNA". Lineage: Eukaryota; Metazoa; Platyhelminthes; Trematoda; Plagiorchiida; Microphallidae. The record is from RNAcentral.
UACAACUCUGAUCGGUGGAUCA